RNAcentral lists this ribosomal RNA (497 nucleotides) under uncultured bacterium. RNAcentral's name for it is "partial 16S ribosomal RNA". It matches the Rfam family "Bacterial small subunit ribosomal RNA", at positions 28 to 507 of the family's 1533-position model. The record is from RNAcentral.
GAUGAACGCUGGCGGCGUGCCUAAUACAUGCAAGUCGAGCGAACGGACGAGAAGCUUGCUUCUCUGAUGUUAGCGGCGGACGGGUGAGUAACACGUGGAUAACCUACCUAUAAGACUGGGAUAACUUCGGGAAACCGGAGCUAAUACCGGAUAAUAUUUUGAACCGCAUGGUUCAAAAGUUAAAGACGGUCUUGCUGUCACUUAUAGAUGGAUCCGCGCUGCAUUAGCUAGUUGGUAAGGUAACGGCUUACCAAGGCAACGAUGCAUAGCCGACCUGAGAGGAUGAUCGGCCACACUGGAACUGAGACACGGUCCAGACUCCUACGGGAGGCAGCAGUAGGGAAUCUUCCACAAUGGGCGAAAGCCUGACGGAGCAACACCGCGUGAGUGAUGAAGGUCUUCGGAUCGUAAAGCUCUGUUAUUAGGGAAGAACAUAUGUGGAAGUAACUGUGCACAUCUUGACGGUACCUAAUCAGAAAGCCACGGCUAACUACGUG